This 2331-nucleotide ribosomal RNA is filed under the name human gut metagenome. RNAcentral describes it as "bacterial LSU rRNA". It matches the Rfam family "Bacterial large subunit ribosomal RNA", at positions 496 to 2812 of the family's 2925-position model. The record is from RNAcentral.
CAGUACCGUGAGGGAAAGGCGAAAAGAACCCCGGCGAGGGGAGUGAAAAAGAACCUGAAACCGUGUACGUACAAGCAGUGGGAGCCUCUUUAUGGGGUGACUGCGUACCUUUUGUAUAAUGGGUCAGCGACUUAUAUUCUGUAGCAAGGUUAACCGAAUAGGGGAGCCGAAGGGAAACCGAGUCUUAACUGGGCGUUAAGUUGCAGGGUAUAGACCCGAAACCCGGUGAUCUAGCCAUGGGCAGGUUGAAGGUUGGGUAACACUAACUGGAGGACCGAACCGACUAAUGUUGAAAAAUUAGCGGAUGACUUGUGGCUGGGGGUGAAAGGCCAAUCAAACCGGGAGAUAGCUGGUUCUCCCCGAAAGCUAUUUAGGUAGCGCCUCGUGAAUUCAUCUCCGGGGGUAGAGCACUGUUUCGGCAAGGGGGUCAUCCCGACUUACCAACCCGAUGCAAACUGCGAAUACCGGAGAAUGUUAUCACGGGAGACACACGGCGGGUGCUAACGUCCGUCGUGAAGAGGGAAACAACCCAGACCGCCAGCUAAGGUCCCAAAGUCAUGGUUAAGUGGGAAACGAUGUGGGAAGGCCCAGACAGCCAGGAUGUUGGCUUAGAAGCAGCCAUCAUUUAAAGAAAGCGUAAUAGCUCACUGGUCGAGUCGGCCUGCGCGGAAGAUGUAACGGGGCUAAACCAUGCACCGAAGCUGCGGCAGCGACACUAUGUGUUGUUGGGUAGGGGAGCGUUCUGUAAGCCUGUGAAGGUGUACUGUGAGGUAUGCUGGAGGUAUCAGAAGUGCGAAUGCUGACAUAAGUAACGAUAAAGCGGGUGAAAAGCCCGCUCGCCGGAAGACCAAGGGUUCCUGUCCAACGUUAAUCGGGGCAGGGUGAGUCGACCCCUAAGGCGAGGCCGAAAGGCGUAGUCGAUGGGAAACAGGUUAAUCUUCCUGUACUUGGUGUUACUGCGAAGGGGGGACGGAGAAGGCUAUGUUGGCCGGGCGACGGUUGUCCCGGUUUAAGCGUGUAGGCUGGUUUUCCAGGCAAAUCCGGAAAAUCAAGGCUGAGGCGUGAUGACGAGGCACUACGGUGCUGAAGCAACAAAUGCCCUGCUUCCAGGAAAAGCCUCUAAGCAUCAGGUAACAUCAAAUCGUACCCCAAACCGACACAGGUGGUCAGGUAGAGAAUACCAAGGCGCUUGAGAGAACUCGGGUGAAGGAACUAGGCAAAAUGGUGCCGUAACUUCGGGAGAAGGCACGCUGAUAUGUAGGUGAAGCGACUUGCUCGUGGAGCUGAAAUCAGUCGAAGAUACCAGCUGGCUGCAACUGUUUAUUAAAAACACAGCACUGUGCAAACACGAAAGUGGACGUAUACGGUGUGACGCCUGCCCGGUGCCGGAAGGUUAAUUGAUGGGGUUAGCGGUAACGCGAAGCUCUUGAUCGAAGCCCCGGUAAACGGCGGCCGUAACUAUAACGGUCCUAAGGUAGCGAAAUUCCUUGUCGGGUAAGUUCCGACCUGCACGAAUGGCGUAAUGAUGGCCAGGCUGUCUCCACCCGAGACUCAGUGAAAUUGAACUCGCUGUGAAGAUGCAGUGUACCCGCGGCAAGACGGAAAGACCCCGUGAACCUUUACUAUAGCUUGACACUGAACAUUGAGCCUUGAUGUGUAGGAUAGGUGGGAGGCUUUGAAGUGUGGACGCCAGUCUGCAUGGAGCCGGCCUUGAAAUACCACCCUUUAAUGUUUGAUGUUCUAACGUUGGCCCCUGAUCGGGGUUGCGGACAGUGUCUGGUGGGUAGUUUGACUGGGGCGGUCUCCUCCUAAAGAGUAACGGAGGAGCACGAAGGUUGGCUAAUCCUGGUCGGACAUCAGGAGGUUAGUGCAAUGGCAUAAGCCAGCUUGACUGCGAGCGUGACGGCGCGAGCAGGUGCGAAAGCAGGUCAUAGUGAUCCGGUGGUUCUGAAUGGAAGGGCCAUCGCUCAACGGAUAAAAGGUACUCUGGGGAUAACAGGCUGAUACCGCCCAAGAGUUCAUAUCGACGGCGGUGUUUGGCACCUCGAUGUCGGCUCAUCACAUCCUGGGGCUGAAGUAGGUCCCAAGGGUAUGGCUGUUCGCCAUUUAAAGUGGUACGCGAGCUGGGUUUAGAACGUCGUGAGACAGUUCGGUCCCUAUCUGCCGUGGGCGCUGGAGAACUGAGGGGGGCUGCUCCUAGUACGAGAGGACCGGAGUGGACGCAUCACUGGUGUUCGGGUUGUCAUGCCAAUGGCACUGCCCGGUAGCUAAAUGCGGAAGAGAUAAGUGCUGAAAGCAUCUAAGCACGAAACUUGCCCCGAGAUGAGUUCU